GGGCCUGUAGGUCAAUGGAUAGACUCCCCGGCUUCGGACCGGGUAAUGGGGGUUCGAAUCCCUCCGGGCCUA
This 72-nucleotide transfer RNA is filed under the name Nanobdellota archaeon. Its description in RNAcentral is "tRNA-Arg". It matches the Rfam family "tRNA". Rfam says of the family: Transfer RNA (tRNA) molecules are approximately 80 nucleotides in length. Their secondary structure includes four short double-helical elements and three loops (D, anti-codon, and T loops). The record is from RNAcentral. Lineage: Archaea; Nanobdellati; Nanobdellota.